AACGAACGCUGGCGGCAGGCCUAACACAUGCAAGUCGAGCGAGGACUUCGGUUCUAGCGGCGGACGGGUGAGUAACGCGUGGGAAAGUGCCCUUCUCUACGGAAUAGCCCUGGGAAACUGGGAGUAAUACCGUAUACGCCCUUUUGGGGAAAGAUUUAUCGGAGAAGGAUCAGCCCGCGUUGGAUUAGGUAGUUGGUGGGGUAAUGGCCUACCAAGCCGACGAUCCAUAGCUGGUUUGAGAGGAUGAUCAGCCACACUGGGACUGAGACACGGCCCAGACUCCUACGGGAGGCAGCAGUGGGGAAUCUUAGACAAUGGGGGCAACCCUGAUCUAGCCAUGCCGCGUGAGUGAUGAAGGCCUUAGGGUUGUAAAGCUCUUUCAGCUGGGAAGAUAAUGACGGUACCAGCAGAAGAAGCCCCGGCUAACUCCGUG
RNAcentral lists this ribosomal RNA (433 nucleotides) under uncultured bacterium. RNAcentral's name for it is "partial 16S ribosomal RNA". It matches the Rfam family "Bacterial small subunit ribosomal RNA", at positions 29 to 507 of the family's 1533-position model. The record is from RNAcentral.